GGGGCUGAUUUUGGAUUUGACAGCAAGAUAAGUCAUAAAAGAAAGCAUAUCGUGUCACGUAAGGUAUUACACGAAAAUCAAGCGUUACAAAUAUAUAAAUGGCGAAAAAGAAUACGCUUUUGCUGCUUAAUGUUAACAUUAUAGCUUCAUCUGCAAAAAAACGCAGAAGCAAAAUAUCUCUCAGAAAUUUUUCCUUAUAAUUUCUGAUAUAGAGGUACUUAAAAAUAUUAAGGAUAAGAAAACAGAUGAUUCUUAAGUUUUCUGAAUUAUAUUUUGAAUCUUAAGUUUUUAUUCUGGAUCCAAAACUUGGAUAAAAAUGUAAAAAAUUUUUUUGGAUAAAUAUGGAUAAAUCUUUUAUACGACUUGUUUGGACGCGGGUUCGAAUCCCGCCAGCUCCACCA
This 401-nucleotide transfer-messenger RNA is filed under the name Blattabacterium sp. (Blaberus giganteus). Its description in RNAcentral is "transfer-messenger RNA Blatt_sp_Bgi". It matches the Rfam family "transfer-messenger RNA". Rfam says of the family: Bacterial tmRNA, also known as 10Sa RNA or SsrA, is named for its dual tRNA and mRNA-like properties. Its role is to liberate the mRNA from a stalled ribosome. To accomplish this part of the tmRNA is used as a reading frame that ends in a translation stop signal. Lineage: Bacteria; Pseudomonadati; Bacteroidota; Flavobacteriia; Flavobacteriales; Blattabacteriaceae. The record is from RNAcentral.